AUGGUUGGCAUCUGCAGGUUGCUGCAGCCCUCUGUAUAUCCCCCCAGCUGCUUAUACUGGUCACCAUUUAUAACUGCUAAGUGCCAGAAGGAUAAUACUUUGGAACCAGCGACCUCUGGUCUCGGUGUUACCGCAGGAAACCUGUGCUGCUCCCUGGCUGUAGCAGGGGUGUCGAGACAAUAUAUUUUGCUGGUUCCAGCGCCAUCACAUCAAACUUGUGCUGCUGCUGCUUCCUGGCUGGCUGUAGCACGGGCAUGGAGCAUCAAGAGAUGGCUUCACCUAAUUUUGUGUCCCCUCCGAUGGAGAUGCCAAAUCAUCAAGAAUUCAGGUGAUAGUACGCUGUCUUCUGCUGUGAUGAUCGAUGUCCAUAUCAGGAGGAUUCCAGACGGCGAAAACCCAGCCCCAAGACCUUGA
This 414-nucleotide ribosomal RNA is filed under the name Triticum aestivum (bread wheat). RNAcentral describes it as "partial small subunit ribosomal RNA". Lineage: Eukaryota; Viridiplantae; Streptophyta; Magnoliopsida; Poales; Poaceae. The record is from RNAcentral.